CAAGGAAUCUUCCGCAAUGGGCGAAAGCCUGACGGAGCAACGCCGCGUGGGGGAGGAAGCCCUUCGGGGUGUAAACCUCUUUUCUUGGGGACGAAAGACUGACGGUACCCGAGGAAGAAGGACCGGCUAACUACGUGCCAGCAGCCGCGGUAAUACGUAGGGUCCGAGCGUUGUCCGGAGUUACUGGGCGUAAAGCGCGCGCAGGCGGCUUCAUAAGACUGGCGUGAAAGCCUCCGGCUCAACCGGAGAGGGUCGUCGGUGACUGUGGAGCUUGAGGGUGGCAGGGGCUGGUGGAAUGCCUGGUGUAGUGGUGAAAUGCGUAGAGAUCAGGCGGAACACCCGUGGCGAAGGCGGCCAGCUGGGCCAUCACUGACGCUGAGGCGCGAAGGCGUGGGGAGCG
Molecule: ribosomal RNA, 400 nt
Filed under: uncultured bacterium
Lineage: Bacteria
Description: bacterial SSU rRNA
Rfam family: Bacterial small subunit ribosomal RNA
Source: RNAcentral